Molecule: ribosomal RNA, 253 nt
Filed under: uncultured bacterium
Lineage: Bacteria
Description: partial 16S ribosomal RNA
Rfam family: Bacterial small subunit ribosomal RNA
Source: RNAcentral
GACGGACCGUCGAAACGUUAUUCGGGAUCACUGGGCUUAAAGGGUGCGUAGGCGGUCCCGUAAGUCGGGUGUGAAAACCCUCGGCUCAACCGAGGAAGUGCGCCCGAAACUGCGGGGCUAGAGGGAGGUAGAGGCGAGUGGAACUUGCGGUGGAGCGGUGAAAUGCGUUGAUAUCGCAAGGAACACCGGUGGCGAAGGCGGCUCGCUGGGCCUUCCCUGACGCUGAGGCACGAAAGCUAGGGGAGCGAACGGG